GAGUUUGAUCCUGGCUCAGAACGAACGCUGGCGGCAUGCCUAACACAUGCAAGUCGAACGAGACCUUCGGGUCUAGUGGCGCACGGGUGCGUAACGCGUGGGAAUCUGCCCUUGGGUUCGGAAUAACUCAGAGAAAUUUGAGCUAAUACCGGAUGAUGUCGCAAGACCAAAGAUUUAUCGCCCAGGGAUGAGCCCGCGUAGGAUUAGCUAGUUGGUGAGGUAAAAGCUCACCAAGGCGACGAUCCUUAGCUGGUCUGAGAGGAUGAUCAGCCACACUGGGACUGAGACACGGCCCAGACUCCUACGGGAGGCAGCAGUGGGGAAUAUUGGACAAUGGGCGAAAGCCUGAUCCAGCAAUGCCGCGUGAGUGAUGAAGGCCCUAGGGUUGUAAAGCUCUUUUACCCGGGAUGAUAAUGACAGUACCGGGAGAAUAAGCUCCGGCUAACUCCGUGCCAGCAGCCGCCGCAGUAAG
This 472-nucleotide ribosomal RNA is filed under the name uncultured Alphaproteobacteria bacterium. RNAcentral describes it as "bacterial SSU rRNA". It matches the Rfam family "Bacterial small subunit ribosomal RNA", at positions 9 to 527 of the family's 1533-position model. Lineage: Bacteria; Pseudomonadati; Pseudomonadota; Alphaproteobacteria. The record is from RNAcentral.